Molecule: transfer RNA, 73 nt
Filed under: Verrucomicrobiota bacterium
Lineage: Bacteria; Pseudomonadati; Verrucomicrobiota
Also listed under: 1 other name
Description: Verrucomicrobia bacterium tRNA-Met
Rfam family: tRNA
About the family: Transfer RNA (tRNA) molecules are approximately 80 nucleotides in length. Their secondary structure includes four short double-helical elements and three loops (D, anti-codon, and T loops).
Source: RNAcentral
CGCGGGGUGGAGCAGUGGCUAGCUCGUUGGGCUCAUAACCCAAAGGUCGUAGGUUCGAGUCCUACCCCCGCUA